AUUGAACGCUGGCGGCAGGCUUAACACAUGCAAGUCGAGCGGGGACUUCGGUCCUAGCGGCGAACGGGUGAGGAAUGCUUGGGAAUCUGCCUUGUAGUGGGGGAUAACGUUUCGAAAGGAACGCUAAUACCGCAUACGUCCUAAGGGAGAAAGGGGGGGAUCUUCGGACCUCUCGCUAUAAGAUGAGCCCAAGUCGGAUUAGCUAGUUGGUGGGGUAAAGGCUCACCAAGGCGACGAUCCGUAGCUGGUCUGAGAGGAUGAUCAGCCACACUGGAACUGAGACACGGUCCAGACUCCUACGGGAGACAACGGUGGGGAAUAUUGGACUAUGGGCGAAAGCCUGGCCCAGCCCUGCCGCGUGUGUGAAGAAGGCCUUCGGGUUGUAAAGCACUUUAAGCGAGGAGGAAUGGCUCUGGGUUAAUACCCUUGAGCAGUGACGUUACUCGCAGAAUAAGCACCGGCUAACUCUGUGCCAGCCGCCGCAGUAA
Molecule: ribosomal RNA, 488 nt
Filed under: uncultured bacterium
Lineage: Bacteria
Description: partial 16S ribosomal RNA
Rfam family: Bacterial small subunit ribosomal RNA
Source: RNAcentral